UACAGAGGUGGCAAGCGUUGUUCGGAAUUACUGGGCGUAAAGGGCGCGUAGGCGGUUCGAUAAGUCCCGUGUGAAAUCCCUCGGCUCAACUGAGGAAUGGCACGGGAAACUGACGGGCUUGAGUUCGGGAGAGAGAAGCGGAAUUCCGGGUGUAGCGGUGAAAUGCGUAGAUAUCCGGAGGAACACCGGUGGCGAAGGCGGCUUCCUGGACCGACACUGACGCUGAGGCGCGAAAGCUAGGGGAGCAAACGGG
Molecule: ribosomal RNA, 253 nt
Filed under: uncultured bacterium
Lineage: Bacteria
Description: partial 16S ribosomal RNA
Rfam family: Bacterial small subunit ribosomal RNA
Source: RNAcentral